This is a small nuclear RNA of Nannospalax galili (Upper Galilee mountains blind mole rat), 106 nucleotides long. Lineage: Eukaryota; Metazoa; Chordata; Mammalia; Rodentia; Spalacidae. The record is from Ensembl.
GUGCUUGCUUCAGCAGCACAGAAACAAAACUGGAAUGACAAAGACAAGGCAAGGAUGGCCCCUGCUCAAGGAUGACAAGCCAGUUCAUGAAGCAUUACAUACUUUU